RNAcentral lists this transfer RNA (61 nucleotides) under Aspiculuris sp. PC-2022. RNAcentral describes it as "tRNA-Lys". Lineage: Eukaryota; Metazoa; Nematoda; Chromadorea; Rhabditida; Heteroxynematidae. The record is from RNAcentral.
AGGUUUAGCUUAAGUUGAAAGUUUAGAUUUUUGCUCUUAGGAUAUGUGUAAUUUUCUUUUG